Molecule: small nuclear RNA, 107 nt
Organism: Ochotona princeps (American pika)
Lineage: Eukaryota; Metazoa; Chordata; Mammalia; Lagomorpha; Ochotonidae
Source: Ensembl
AUGCUUGCUUUGGAAGCACAUAUACUAAAAUCAGAAUGAUACAGUGAAGAUUAUCAUGGCCCCUGCACAAGAAUGACAUGCAAAUUUGGGAAGCGUCCCCUAUUUGU